UGAUGAUCUAUUCUGACAGUUUCAACAUUAAAAACUUGAUUUCUGGGGAUACUAGGUGUUUAGCCAACUGCAAGGGAACUAAUUCUAAAAGCAUCUCAUUUUUUACGUAAGGACAUCAUGACUGACAUAUGAAGAGAAAGCAGACAAAGGUGAAUGGUACCUAGAUCAAGACAUCCAGGACAAGACAAAACACACCAGUUUGUUCCCAGAGAGUUGCUUGUUGUUCUUUGAAGGUUUGUACUUAACCUGUUGGAAUCCUUCCUGUUGAACUGAGAUGCCAGCAAAGUAAUCCCCAGGGCCCAGGCAAAUGUCAUAUAGUAAAAGAAGGAUAUGAGAUAU
RNAcentral lists this long non-coding RNA (339 nucleotides) under Anser brachyrhynchus (Pink-footed goose). RNAcentral's name for it is "lncRNA (ENSABRG00000011292.1)". Lineage: Eukaryota; Metazoa; Chordata; Aves; Anseriformes; Anatidae. The record is from RNAcentral.